CUGUAAAGGUAAGUAAACGCUUCCUGCCGGGCCCCAACAGGACCGCCGGGCUUGUAAUGAGCCCGGCCAUCCUGGUCUGUAUUAUGGCAAUAUAAGUUGCCAUAAUACAGACCUUGACUCGAGUAUAACCCGAGGGGGGGAUUUUUCAGCACCAAAAAAUGUGCCGAAAAACUCGGCUUAUACUCGAGCAUAUACAGUAAUAUCUGCAUUUAGAAGGGAUAUUGGACUAUAAUUUUCUAGAUGUGCCGGAUUCUUAUUAGAUUUUAGAAUUAGAUUGGCUUGAAAAAGCCUUGGUGUACUAUGC
This is a non-coding RNA of Pelobates cultripes (western spadefoot toad), 304 nucleotides long. The record is from the annotation of a GenBank genome assembly. Lineage: Eukaryota; Metazoa; Chordata; Amphibia; Anura; Pelobatidae.